GCAAGUCGAACGGUAACAUAGCUAGCUUGCUAGCUGAUGACGAGUGGCGGACGGGUGAGUAUAACGUAGGAAUCUGCCUAGUAGCUGGGGAUAAGCCAGAGAAAUUUGGUCUAAUACCGAAUACGCCCUACGGGGGAAAGCGGGGGCUCUUCGGACCUCGCACUAUUAGAUGAGCCUACGCCGGAUUAGCUAGUUGGUGGGGUAAAGGCCUACCAAGGCUACGAUGGGUAGCUGGUCUGAGAGGACGAUC
Molecule: ribosomal RNA, 250 nt
Filed under: uncultured bacterium
Lineage: Bacteria
Description: partial 16S ribosomal RNA
Rfam family: Bacterial small subunit ribosomal RNA
Source: RNAcentral